This 468-nucleotide ribosomal RNA is filed under the name uncultured bacterium. RNAcentral describes it as "partial 16S ribosomal RNA". It matches the Rfam family "Bacterial small subunit ribosomal RNA", at positions 28 to 507 of the family's 1533-position model. The record is from RNAcentral.
GACGAACGCUGGCGGCGUGCUUAACACAUGCAAGUCGAACGGAAAGGCCCUGCUUUUGUGGGGUGCUCGAGUGGCGAACGGGUGAGUAACACGUGAGUAACCUGCCCUUGACUUUGGGAUAACUUCAGGAAACUGGGGCUAAUACCGGAUAGGAGCUCCUGCUGCAUGGUGGGGGUUGGAAAGUUUCGGCGGUUGGGGAUGGACUCGCGGCUUAUCAGCUUGUUGGUGGGGUAGUGGCUUACCAAGGCUUUGACGGGUAGCCGGCCUGGGAGGGUGACCGGCCACAUUGGGACUGAGAUACGGCCCAGACUCCUACGGGAGGCAGCAGUGGGGAAUAUUGCACAAUGGGCGGAAGCCUGAUGCAGCAGCGCCGCGUGCGGGAUGACGGCCUUCGGGUUGUAAACCGCUUUCGCCUGUGACGAAGCGGGAGUGACGGUAAUGGGUAAAGAAGCACCGGCUAACUACGUG